CAGCCGCCGCGGUAAUACGAGGGGUGCAAGCGUUAUUCGGAUUGAUUGGGUGUAAAGGGUGUGCAGACGGCUUAUUAAGUCACUUGUUAAAUUCUUCGGCCUAACUGAAGGUCUGCAAGUGAUACUGAUGAGCUAGAGGGUGGAAGAGAGAAGUGGAAUUCUCGGAGUAGCGGUAAAAUGCGUAGAUCUCGAGAGGAACACCAAUGGCGAAGGCAGCUUCUUGGUCCAUUCCUGACGUUCAUACACGAAAGCGUGGGGAGCAAACAGGAUUAGAUACCCCCGUAGUCCCUGUCUCUUAUAA
RNAcentral lists this ribosomal RNA (301 nucleotides) under uncultured bacterium. RNAcentral's name for it is "partial 16S ribosomal RNA". It matches the Rfam family "Bacterial small subunit ribosomal RNA", at positions 509 to 809 of the family's 1533-position model. The record is from RNAcentral.